UAGGGAAUUUUCCACAAUGGACGAAAGUCUGAUGGAGCAACGCCGCGUGCAGGAUGAAGGCUUUCGGGUCGUAAACUGCUUUUAUAUGUGAAGAUUAUGACGGUAGCAUAUGAAUAAGGAUCGGCUAACUCCGUGCCAGCAGCCGCGGUCAUACGGAGGAUCCAAGCGUUAUCCGGAAUUACUGGGCGUAAAGAGUUGCGUAGGUGGCAUUGUAAGUAGGUAGUGAAAUCCUGGGGCUCAACCCCUUCAACAUUAUCUAAACUGCAAAGCUAGAGGGCGAGAGAGGUAGCUAGAAUUCCUUGUGUAGGAGUGAAAUCCGUAGAUAUAAGGAGGAAUACCGAUGGCGUAGGCAGGCUACUGGCUCGUCCCUGACACUAAGGCACGAAAGCGUGGGGAGCGA
RNAcentral lists this ribosomal RNA (400 nucleotides) under uncultured bacterium. RNAcentral describes it as "bacterial SSU rRNA". It matches the Rfam family "Bacterial small subunit ribosomal RNA", at positions 355 to 771 of the family's 1533-position model. The record is from RNAcentral.